Molecule: long non-coding RNA, 269 nt
Organism: Lacerta agilis (Sand lizard)
Lineage: Eukaryota; Metazoa; Chordata; Lepidosauria; Squamata; Lacertidae
Exons: 3
Source: RefSeq, a predicted model, not a curated record
UGGGGAGGCUGCCCGAGAGGAGGGCUUUGACCUGCGCCCUCUGGACCGGAAUGGCGCCAUUCCCUGAGAAGCUCCCUCUGGGAGAAUGAAUUUCUCUCGAAGUUCAAGAACACCAUAUUUACUUACAGGCAAUUUCCAGGAGAAAAGCAAAGUACUAUUCUGGGCCAGAGGGGAUGAUGGGGAAGAUCAAGGCAGGUUAGAGAAGCAAAGCCAUUCCCAACAAGUGGAGGAGUAGUAGUGAGAGGAAGCCAAGAAAAACCGCCAACCUA